This is an RNA transcript of Poeciliopsis prolifica (blackstripe livebearer), 1812 nucleotides long. RefSeq lists it as uncharacterized. The transcript has 8 exons. The record is from RefSeq and is a predicted model, not a curated record. NCBI's taxonomy places the organism in Eukaryota, Metazoa, Chordata, Actinopteri, Cyprinodontiformes, Poeciliidae.
GUCGCCGAGCAGCCCGGCGAGCUGCCAUCAACCCGAGUGUUUUGAAACGACCGGCCGAUUUCUCCGGCGUCCUCGGAAGCAAAAACUGGCAAAAAAAAAAAAAAAAUUCAGACGUGAGGAGGAAGACGCUCAUUCCAGGCUGAACAAUGUCACGUUUUAUGAUUUAAAGCACCUGCUCCACAGCGUUCUCGCUCCCGCCUGAGUUGGUGACGAAAGCUAACCGUUAGCAGCACAACGUCCAAUUUACAAGUUCGGCCUGGGAGGAAUUUGCUGAUUCGCGAUGAUAUCCGGAGUUUUUUUGUUUUGUUUUUUUUCGUUUUUUGGGGAACAAAUGAGCAUCCUUAAAAUGACGAGAGCGAUGCUUGGAGUCCGGAAACUUUUUGUCCUCCGGGAGCCGCCGGUUCAGAGCGACCAGCACGGCGGGGGUUUCUCCUACAGGUGACUUGAGCGGAGCGAGCUUCAGAGAGCAAAGCACCGCGGGAAACGUCCUCCUCCCGAUGGACCGAGCGAAGGGGUCGUGACCUUUGACACAGUCGGCCUCAAAGACAUCAGCGCAACAACGAAAGCCAACGAAAAGAUUUUUCUUUUUCACCAGAAACUUUGUCAUCGAUCUUUGUGAAAGUCAGAAACAGGGUAGAAAAAGUUUUCACGACGGCAACAUUUCACAUCAGUCGAUAUUCAACGGUCGACGUUUGAUUCGCACAAAUUUGUUCCAGUUCAUUUUUGCAUCAAGCCUCCAGUCCCCGUUUGAUUUUCUAAAGGCUUUUCUUUCAGUCAGGGAUCGUGGGAAGAACCGGAGCCGGGAAAAGCUCUCUCCUCCGUUCCGCCUGGCAGAACCUCACAGACGGCGUUUCGACCUCUGACCUCGCCCCCCCCCCCCCCCCCCCGCCAGAAGACGUCCGUCUUUCCUCAGUUGAAGGCUCCGGACGGUGGCAGCAUCCAGGAAUCAGACCGACCCUUUGCUCCGCCACAGAACCAAGACGGCGCCCUCCGCAAGCCGGGCCGAGCCGGGUCGAGCCCACGCAGCCGCUCUGCCGCACUCAGCCAGAGAGGUGUUUUACGGUCGCAGACGUACUACGUGGACUUUCUCCGACCAACAUCGGAGCACGACGGCGGCCACCAUCCCGAAGCGAUAUAUGGAACGUGUGUAGUAACGCCCGUGUUUCUUCCGUUACGGGUACGGUUACGAAGAAGCUGGAGUUCCAGGGAAGCCGAUGUCAUGAUGAACGUGAAGCAUUUGAGUUUGAGCAGGUACUCUGUGAGGUCACCGCUAUGAGAAACAGUGAAGAGGGAAAUAUGUGCAGCAGUUGCGGUGAAGUUCAGGGCUGAUGUGUCUGUCGGUGGAGACAUCCCAACAUGUCAGUUCUCUGUGGCCUUCAAGGCUCUCAGGGAUGUAUUGUUACGGCUUCAUCACGAAACAUCUUGUCAUGUGUUUUAUGAAAUGUAAAGGUUAAUAUGCACUUGCUUUUCUCCACUCUCAUCAAAAGGUGAUAAGUUGAAGUGGACCUCCAACGAAGUCAGUCACCCAACAGUGAUCCAGUCUAGCGUCUUAUGGACUGUUUGCCCUCUGCGUCUGACCGGUGAUGAACGUUGUGGUGGAUCUGCAGUCAGAGCUGUGCAUGUGUGGAGAUCCUGGCGAAAAACUGGAUCUCCAGCUGUGAGGAGAUGCUGUGGUGGUGACGGAAAGCCAAGAGGAUGUCUGGUGAUGCAGCCUUCAUGGGUCAAUAUUCCCCUUAAUCCCCUUAUUCCCCUUAUUCCCCACCGGUUGAAGAGAGGAAAGCAAUAGAAUUCUAUAUAUACACACUAAGUGUU